Molecule: non-coding RNA, 25 nt
Filed under: Cricetulus griseus (Chinese hamster)
Lineage: Eukaryota; Metazoa; Chordata; Mammalia; Rodentia; Cricetidae
Source: RNAcentral
AACAGACUGGGUAUAUAUAGGAAGU